GACGAACGCUGGCGGCGUGCUUAACACAUGCAAGUCGAACGGAAAGGCCCUGCUUUUGUGGGGUGCUCGAGUGGCGAACGGGUGAGUAACACGUGAGUAACCUGCCCUUGACUUUGGGAUAACUUCAGGAAACUGGGGCUAAUACCGGAUAGGAGCUCCUGCUGCAUGGUGGGGGUUGGAAAGUUUCGGCGGUUGGGGAUGGACUCGCGGCUUAUCAGCUUGUUGGUGGGGUAGUGGCUUACCAAGGCUUUGACGGGUAGCCGGCCUGAGAGGGUGACCGGCCACAUUGGUACUGAGAGACGGCGCAGACGGCUACGGGAGGCAGCAGGGGGGAAUAUGGCACAAUGGGCGGAAGCCGGAGACAGCAACGCCGCGUGCGGGAUGACGGCCUUUGGGGUGUAAACCGCUUUCGCCUGUUACGAAGCGGGAGUGACGGUAAUGGGUAAAGAAGCACCGGCUAACUACGUG
RNAcentral lists this ribosomal RNA (468 nucleotides) under uncultured bacterium. RNAcentral's name for it is "partial 16S ribosomal RNA". It matches the Rfam family "Bacterial small subunit ribosomal RNA", at positions 28 to 507 of the family's 1533-position model. The record is from RNAcentral.